AGUGAACGCUGGCGGUAUGCCUAACACAUGCAAGUCGAACGGCAGCACAGUAAGAGCUUGCUCUUACGGGUGGCGAGUGGCGGACGGGUGAGGAAUACAUCGGAAUCUACUUUUUCGUGGGUGAUAACGUAGGGAAACUUACGCUAAUACCGCAUACGACCUACGGGUGAAAGCAGUGGAUCUUCGCACCUUGCGCGAUUGAAUGAGCCGAUGUCGGAUUAGCUAGUUGGCGGGGUAAAGGCCCACCAAGGCGACGAUCCGUAGCUGGUCUGAGAGGAUGAUCAGCCACACUGGAACUGAGACACGGUCCAGACUCCUACGGGAGGCAGCAGUGGGGAAUAUUGGACAAUGGGCGCAAGCCUGAUCCAGCCAUACCGCGUGGGUGAAGAAGGCCUUCGGGUUGUAAAGCCCUUUUGUUGGGAAAGAAAAGCAGCAGGUUAAUACCCCGCUGUUCUGACGGUACCAAAAGAAUAAGCACCGGCUAACUUCGUG
RNAcentral lists this ribosomal RNA (492 nucleotides) under uncultured bacterium. RNAcentral describes it as "partial 16S ribosomal RNA". It matches the Rfam family "Bacterial small subunit ribosomal RNA", at positions 29 to 507 of the family's 1533-position model. The record is from RNAcentral.